Molecule: long non-coding RNA, 784 nt
Organism: Limulus polyphemus (Atlantic horseshoe crab)
Lineage: Eukaryota; Metazoa; Arthropoda; Merostomata; Xiphosura; Limulidae
Exons: 3
Source: RefSeq, a predicted model, not a curated record
AUUGACUGUCUGAGGACGUCUGUUGGAGUAGGGAGAAUCAGUGUUAUAUAUAGAUAUAUAUAUAUCAGUAUCCAAACUUCUUACUCGAGUUAAUAAGUAGUCCUAUUGUAUGUAGCUUCCGUUUAGUAGAAAGAUAUUUCGAAUAGUGUACAACACAGAUUAUAAUGAUUUAACUUUACUAGGAAACACAAUGUCAUUAUAUUUUAAAUCCCAGACAAAGGGCUUCAGUACACACAACUUGGCAAGUUUCGUCGAAAUUCGUGUGAGUUGUUCUGAUAAAAAUUUUUAACAAAGGCCAAAAAAACGUACAUUUUUCUUAGGCCUACAUUAGUUGGAAGCUAGAUCUUAAAAGUACAAAAUUCCAUGUACAAAGUGAAGAUACAAAGAAGAAAGUUACGCCUGAGGUUACAACCGUUAUAUUUCGACUGCUCAGUAAUCAGGAGUAAACGUAGUAAAUUUUUCUGUUGCAGUCCCACUCCCAGCAGAAAAUGUAACGUUAGAACGUGUCUUUGUAGAUAUUUUUAGAUUUGGACUACCAGUCCAGGGAUUUUAAGAAGGGAUGUCAAGCUUCAUAUUUCACAAGCAAAGACGUCUGGAGGAACAUACAGGAUUUCUGGAUGGAGUAGACUGGUAGUGUACUCUCUAGAUGACAAUGAUUGAAGAUAAAGACAGGAUACUUUUGUCUCUCCUAAAUUUGGUAUAACUAUGUGAAACAUGCUCAGAUGCUCUGCUAGUUAUAUGCAAAAUAAGUAUACAAUAUGCAAAGUAACUGGUAAAUCCUUAC